AGAUUGAACGCUGGCGGCAGGCCUAACACAUGCAAGUCGAGCGGUAGAGAGGUGCUUGCAUCUCUUGAGAGCGGCGGACGGGUGAGUAAUGCCUAGGAAUCUGCCUAGUGGUGGGGGAUAACGUUCGGAAACGGACGCUAAUACCGCAUACGUCCUACGGGAGAAAGCGGGGGACCUUCGGGCCUCGCGCCAUUAGAUGAGCCUAGGUCGGAUUAGCUAGUUGGUGAGGUAAUGGCUCACCAAGGCGACGGCCCGUAACUGGUCUGAGAGGAUGAUCAGUCACACUGGAACUGAGACACGGUCCAGACUCCUACGGGAGGCAGCAGUGGGGAAUAUUGGACAAUGGGCGAAAGCCUGAUCCAGCCAUGCCGCGUGUGUGAAGAAGGUCUUCGGACUGUAAAGCACUUUAAGUGGAGGAAGGUUGUAACUUAAUACGUUGCAACUUUGACGUUACCGACAGAAUAAGCACCGGCUAACUUCGUGCCAGCAGCCGCGGUAA
This 499-nucleotide ribosomal RNA is filed under the name uncultured soil bacterium. RNAcentral's name for it is "bacterial SSU rRNA". It matches the Rfam family "Bacterial small subunit ribosomal RNA", at positions 26 to 523 of the family's 1533-position model. The record is from RNAcentral.